This is a non-coding RNA of Pelodiscus sinensis (Chinese soft-shelled turtle), 687 nucleotides long. Lineage: Eukaryota; Metazoa; Chordata; Testudines; Trionychidae. The record is from RefSeq and is a predicted model, not a curated record.
UCUCCAGGGCUUUAUAAGGCAGGGACCAAGGAGCUUGCGAACAGGAGAGAGGAAAGGUUACUUGCUGACAAGUUUAGCAAGAGUUUUCAGGAUAAUAUCUGCUUGCAAUGGAGCUAAACUUUAUCACUGCUUGUUUUUGGGAGACUCCAGAAAAAUUUGGGAGCGAGAACAGCAGGGAGCCUGCUGUGUACUCUCCCAGCUCCGCUAGCUGCCAGCUGACACAAAUCUGAAGGCAAAAAUGGACAGGGGAAGACAGGUUCAAGGAGCAAAUGUAAUCCACCCACUUGGAGAGGGAGCACAUAACCAAACAGAGGAAUACACUAUUAGAGGACAUGCAAGCAGAGCAUCAGGAAAGGGGAGUAUUCAGGGAACUGAAAGAGAAGCACCAGGAGACUGUCUUGUCAUUCUUGAUGUCUGUGGUGGACCACAUGGCAGUCUAGAUAUGUACCUGGACAGACUCCCCCAAUCUUUCACAAACCAGCUUUCCCUCCUCACCCAGUUCUGUAGCCUUCUCCCCCAGGGAUCCUAAGACAUGGGAGGGACUUGAGGACAGUCUCACACUCAACCUCCAGGGCAUCAUGAAGCAAAAGCCUGUGUCAUCCUUGUAUUUCUGAUCCCCCUUCCGCUUUGGUUCCCACUGUGGACUCAUUUUUUGUCCCUGCUGUCUCCCUAAAUAAAAACAUAUGA